AACGUACGCUGGCGCAACGCCUAACACAUGCAAGUCGAACGCAGUAGCAAUACUGAGUGGCAGACGGGUGAGUAACAUGUGGGAAUCUGCCUUGUGGUUCAGGACAACAUUGGGAAACCGAUGCUAAUACUGGAUAAGCCCUUACGGGGAAAGUUUUAAUGCCAUAAGAUGAGCCCGCAUUUGAUUAGUUAGUUGGUGAGGUAAUGGCUCACCAAGACAAUGAUCAAUAGCUGAUCUGAGAGGAUGAUCAGCCACACUGGGACUGAGACACGGCCCAGACUCCUACGGGAGGCAGCAGUGGGGAAUCUUGCACAAUGGAGGAAACUCUGAUGCAGCGAUGCCGCGUGAGUGAAGAAGGCCUUUGGGUUGUAAAGCUCUUUUGUAGGGGAAGAUAAUGACUGUACCCUAAGAAUAAGGUCCGGCUAACUUCGUG
RNAcentral lists this ribosomal RNA (433 nucleotides) under uncultured bacterium. RNAcentral describes it as "bacterial SSU rRNA". It matches the Rfam family "Bacterial small subunit ribosomal RNA", at positions 29 to 507 of the family's 1533-position model. The record is from RNAcentral.